GGCGGCGUGCUUAACUACAUAGCAAGUCGAACGGAAAGGCCGUAGCGUUGCUGGGGUACGUCGAGUGGCGAAACGGGUGAGUAACACGUGGGUGAUCUGCCUUGUCACCUCUGGGAGUAAGCUUGGGAAACUGGGUCUAAUACCGGAUAGGAACCGUCUUUAGUUGUGGUGGUUGGAAAGUUUUUUCGGUGCAAGAUGAGCUCGCGGCCUAUCAGCUUGUUGUGGGGUAAUGGCCUACCAAGGCGUCGACGGGUAGCCGGCCUGAGAGGGUGUACGGCCACAUUGGGACUGAGAUACGGCCCAGACUCCUACGGGAGGCAGCAGUGGGGAAUAUUGCACAAUGGGCGGAAGCCUGAUGCAGCGACGCCGCGUGGGGGAUGACGGCCUUCGGGUUGUAAACUCCUUUCGACAGGGACGAAGUGCAAGUGACGGUACCUGUAUAAGAAGCACCGGCUAACUACGUG
This 464-nucleotide ribosomal RNA is filed under the name uncultured Corynebacterium sp. RNAcentral's name for it is "bacterial SSU rRNA". It matches the Rfam family "Bacterial small subunit ribosomal RNA", at positions 38 to 507 of the family's 1533-position model. The record is from RNAcentral. Lineage: Bacteria; Bacillati; Actinomycetota; Actinomycetes; Mycobacteriales; Corynebacteriaceae.